GGGAGUGUACCAGAGUGGUCAAAUGGGACGGACUGUAAAUCCGUUGGUUACGCCUUCCUAGGUUCGAAUCCUAGCACUCCCACCA
This 85-nucleotide transfer RNA is filed under the name Coriobacteriia bacterium. RNAcentral's name for it is "tRNA-Tyr". It matches the Rfam family "tRNA". Rfam says of the family: Transfer RNA (tRNA) molecules are approximately 80 nucleotides in length. Their secondary structure includes four short double-helical elements and three loops (D, anti-codon, and T loops). Lineage: Bacteria; Bacillati; Actinomycetota; Coriobacteriia. The record is from RNAcentral.